UACGUAGGGUGCAAGCGUUAAUCGGAAUUACUGGGCGUAAAGGGCGCGUAGGCGGCCUGGCAAGUGGAAGGUGAAAUCCCUCGGCUUAACCGAGGAACUGCCCUCCAAACUGCUUGGCUUGAGUCCGGGAGAGGUGAGUGGAAUUCCCAGUGUAGCGGUGAAAUGCGUAGAUAUUGGGAGGAACACCAGUGGCGAAGGCGGCUCACUGGCCCGGUACUGACGCUGAGGUGCGAAAGCGUGGGGAGCAAACAGG
This 253-nucleotide ribosomal RNA is filed under the name uncultured bacterium. Its description in RNAcentral is "partial 16S ribosomal RNA". It matches the Rfam family "Bacterial small subunit ribosomal RNA", at positions 524 to 776 of the family's 1533-position model. The record is from RNAcentral.